UACGGAGGGUGCGAGCGUUAUCCGGAAUCACUGGGCGUAAAGGGCGCGUAGGCGGUUUGUUAAGUCCGUUGUCAAAGACCGGGGCUCAACCCCGGAAUGGCAGUGGGUACUGGCAGGCUGGACGGCUGGAGAGGCGAGUGGAAUUACCAGUGUAGCGGUGGAAUGCGUAGAUACUGGUAGGAACACCCAUGGCGAAGGCAGCUCGCUGGACAGCUCGUGACGCUGAGGCGCGAAAGUGUGGGGAGCGAACCGGAUUAGAAACCCCCGUAGUCC
Molecule: ribosomal RNA, 273 nt
Filed under: uncultured bacterium
Lineage: Bacteria
Description: partial 16S ribosomal RNA
Rfam family: Bacterial small subunit ribosomal RNA
Source: RNAcentral